RNAcentral lists this ribosomal RNA (468 nucleotides) under uncultured bacterium. RNAcentral's name for it is "partial 16S ribosomal RNA". It matches the Rfam family "Bacterial small subunit ribosomal RNA", at positions 28 to 507 of the family's 1533-position model. The record is from RNAcentral.
GACGAACGCUGGCGGCGUGCUUAACACAUGCAAGUCGAACGGAAAGGCCCUGCUUUUGUGGGGUGCUCGAGUGGCGAACGGGUGAGUAACACGUGAGUAACCUGCCCUUGACUUGGGGAUAACUUCAGGAAACUGGGGCUAAUACCGGAUAGGAGCUCCUGCUGCAUGGUGGGGGUUGGAAAGUUUCGGCGGUUGGGGAUGGACUCGCGGCUUAUCAGCUUGUUGGUGGGGUAGUGGCUUACCAAGGCUUUGACGGGUAGCCGGCCUGAGAGGGUGACCGGCCACAUUGGGACUGAGAUACGGCCCAGACUCCUACGGGAGGCAGCAGUGGGGAAUAUUGCACAAUGGGCGGACGCCUGAUGCAGCAACGCCGCGUGCGGGAUGACGGCCUUCGGGUUGUAAACCGCUUUCGCCUGUGACGAAGCGUGAGUGACGGUAAUGGGUAAAGAAGCACCGGCUAACUACGUG